Molecule: unclassified non-coding RNA, 316 nt
Filed under: Nitrosomonas sp. A14
Lineage: Bacteria; Pseudomonadati; Pseudomonadota; Betaproteobacteria; Nitrosomonadales; Nitrosomonadaceae
Description: partial 16S-23S ribosomal RNA intergenic spacer region
Rfam family: tRNA (bases 119-191)
Source: RNAcentral
AGGAGCCUACUCGUCUGGGUUGGUGAGAAAAGAGAAACGGGUUUGUAGCUCGGCAGGUUAGAGCAACGCUUGAUAAGCGUGGGGUCGCUGGUUCAAGUCCAGCCAGACCCACCAAUAAGGGGGAUUAGCUCAGCUGGGAGAGCACCUGCUUUGCAAGCAGGGGGUCGUCGGUUCGAACCCGUCAUCCUCCACCAAAGAUCUAUAACAAAUAGGAAUGAUGAGAAAGAGAAACCCGAAAGGGAAGAUUGUAUAAAAGCAAAAGACAACUAAAGAAAUAGAGUCAAGUGAAUAAGUGCAUGAGGUGGAAGCCUUGGCA